GAAUUUCCCGAUAGGGGAGGCCGGAAGCAGCCUCAGCCGGGCUCGCGGUAGCGAAAGCAAAAUCCCGGGGGAGCAAAAUGGACGAAAGGCGACCCCCAGGCAGGGGCGCUGGGUGCCUUGGGAAUCCGAGGAAUCCCUUCUCUUUGCCAGUCGGAGGGGACUAGAGGGAGCCGAAGGGGCCGGAGAUGGGCCGAGCGCUGCCCCCCGGGGGUCCUCGGCGCCGGGCGCAGCUUACAAGCGCAGCGCAGCGCAGCAGGCUCCAUUCCCGGCCGCCGCCGCUCAGCCCAUUGCGCAAACCAACCCCGCUCUGCCGCCGCUGCUGGAACCCAGGAAGCGUGCUUGGAGGCUUCGGGCACUACGCGGGGCUGGAAAUACCACGCACUGCCCCUUCGCCUAGACCCCCGCUCCGGCCACGCGGGCUCUGCCCUCAAAGCUGGUGGCUGCCUCAGACUUGGCGGUGGGGGAGGGGAAGGGGAGAGGCUGGCGCCCCCUCCCCCUUUUGGCUCCCGCGCUCGUUGCAGCAGCUGUUGCCAAAUGAACCCCAGAAUGGGGACGUGCAACCCUCCACCCCACCCCCAGCCACAGACGUCGCGGUCAGAAAACUGGGAAGGGGGCGCUGGGUCCGAGGUUCUGGAAAAGCAAGAACUCACCUGCAAACAGGCAGUCCUUCUCAGCUCUGGACUUCUGGAUCACGACGUCGAUAUCCUUCUGAAUUCGCUCUUGCCUUGAACACAUCCCCAUUAAAUAAAUCCCUGGAAAAGAAGCA
Long non-coding RNA from Homo sapiens (human), 766 nucleotides. NCBI's taxonomy places the organism in Eukaryota, Metazoa, Chordata, Mammalia, Primates, Hominidae. The record is from Ensembl.